GUCUUCAGAAUCCAUUGGCAAUACAAAGGCCAAGACUGGCAAUGGACCAGGAUGCAAUGGGUGAUCUUAGCAUUGGAUUUUAAAGGAAGGCUGAUGGCAUUAGCCAGAGAAACCCAACGGAGUAGAAGGUAAAGACAACAAAGGAAGAAUAGUAGGACAGUGAUCUCACACACUCGUGCUAUGACCUAUAUCCCCAAGGAAAAGAACAAGUAAUACAUAUCAUUCUGAAUAAGGACAACUCCAGGAUCAGGUACUCAGGUGUUUUCUCCAGAGAGAGAAGGAACAAGGGGGUGGUGAACCAACAUCCUGAGUUUCACAGCUGCUGGGCUUAGUACAAUCUACAGUUUGCUUUGGUAGACAAUGUGAGGAAUCUGGACACUUCAUUAAGAGAAUGAGGAAAGAGGGAAAAAGAAUCACUACUAAAGAAA
Molecule: non-coding RNA, 428 nt
Organism: Phascolarctos cinereus (koala)
Lineage: Eukaryota; Metazoa; Chordata; Mammalia; Diprotodontia; Phascolarctidae
Source: RefSeq, a predicted model, not a curated record